GAUGAACGCUGACAGAAUGCUUAACACAUGCGAGUCUUUGGCGAAGCUGUGCUUGCACAGCCUAGCCAAGGCGGACGGGUGAGUAACGCGUAAGGAACUUGCCCUGCAGUCAGGGAUAACAGACGGAAACGACUGAUAAGACCUGGUAAAGUCAGGCGGACUCAUGUCCAGCCUGAUGAAAAGAGAUGCUGCAGGAGAGCCUUGCGUCCUAUUAGCUUGUUGGUGGGGUAACGGCCCACCAAGGCGAUGAUAGGUAGCCGGCCUGAGAGGGUGGACGGCCACAAGGGGACUGAGAUACGGCCCUUACUCCUACGGGAGGCAGCAGUGGGGAAUAUUGGACAAUGGGGGCAACCCUGAUCCAGCAAUUCUGUGUGCACGAUGAAGGUUUUCGGAUUGUAAAGUGCUUUCAGCAGGGAAGAAAAAAAUGACGGUACCUGCAGAAGAAGCGACGGCUAAAUACGUG
This 463-nucleotide ribosomal RNA is filed under the name uncultured bacterium. RNAcentral's name for it is "partial 16S ribosomal RNA". It matches the Rfam family "Bacterial small subunit ribosomal RNA", at positions 28 to 507 of the family's 1533-position model. The record is from RNAcentral.